GGAAUAUAGCUCAGUUGGUAGAGUGCUUGCCUUGCGUGCUUAAGGCCCUGGGUUCAAUCCCCAGCACCA
RNAcentral lists this transfer RNA (69 nucleotides) under Marmota monax (woodchuck). RNAcentral describes it as "tRNA.Ala". The stretch from base 7 to 64 matches the Rfam family "tRNA", at positions 8 to 63 of the family's 71-position model. Rfam says of the family: Transfer RNA (tRNA) molecules are approximately 80 nucleotides in length. Their secondary structure includes four short double-helical elements and three loops (D, anti-codon, and T loops). The record is from RNAcentral. Lineage: Eukaryota; Metazoa; Chordata; Mammalia; Rodentia; Sciuridae.